This 1479-nucleotide ribosomal RNA is filed under the name Escherichia coli. RNAcentral describes it as "partial 23S ribosomal RNA". It matches the Rfam family "Bacterial large subunit ribosomal RNA", at positions 419 to 1884 of the family's 2925-position model. The record is from RNAcentral. Lineage: Bacteria; Pseudomonadati; Pseudomonadota; Gammaproteobacteria; Enterobacterales; Enterobacteriaceae.
GGGACACGUGGUAUCCUGUCUGAAUAUGGGGGGACCAUCCUCCAAGGCUAAAUACUCCUGACUGACCGAUAGUGAACCAGUACCGUGAGGGAAAGGCGAAAAGAACCCCGGCGAGGGGAGUGAAAAAGAACCUGAAACCGUGUACGUACAAGCAGUGGGAGCACGCUUAGGCGUGUGACUGCGUACCUUUUGUAUAAUGGGUCAGCGACUUAUAUUCUGUAGCAAGGUUAACCGAAUAGGGGAGCCGAAGGGAAACCGAGUCUUAACUGGGCGUUAAGUUGCAGGGUAUAGACCCGAAACCCGGUGAUCUAGCCAUGGGCAGGUUGAAGGUUGGGUAACACUAACUGGAGGACCGAACCGACUAAUGUUGAAAAAUUAGCGGAUGACUUGUGGCUGGGGGUGAAAGGCCAAUCAAACCGGGAGAUAGCUGGUUCUCCCCGAAAGCUAUUUAGGUAGCGCCUCGUGAAUUCAUCUCCGGGGGUAGAGCACUGUUUCGGCAAGGGGGUCAUCCCGACUUACCAACCCGAUGCAAACUGCGAAUACCGGAGAAUGUUAUCACGGGAGACACACGGCGGGUGCUAACGUCCGUCGUGAAGAGGGAAACAACCCAGACCGCCAGCUAAGGUCCCAAAGUCAUGGUUAAGUGGGAAACGAUGUGGGAAGGCCCAGACAGCCAGGAUGUUGGCUUAGAAGCAGCCAUCAUUUAAAGAAAGCGUAAUAGCUCACUGGUCGAGUCGGCCUGCGCGGAAGAUGUAACGGGGCUAAACCAUGCACCGAAGCUGCGGCAGCGACACUAUGUGUUGUUGGGUAGGGGAGCGUUCUGUAAGCCUGUGAAGGUGUGCUGUGAGGCAUGCUGGAGGUAUCAGAAGUGCGAAUGCUGACAUAAGUAACGAUAAAGCGGGUGAAAAGCCCGCUCGCCGGAAGACCAAGGGUUCCUGUCCAACGUUAAUCGGGGCAGGGUGAGUCGACCCCUAAGGCGAGGCCGAAAGGCGUAGUCGAUGGGAAACAGGUUAAUAUUCCUGUACUUGGUGUUACUGCGAAGGGGGGACGGAGAAGGCUAUGUUGGCCGGGCGACGGUUGUCCCGGUUUAAGCGUGUAGGCUGGUUUUCCAGGCAAAUCCGGAAAAUCAAGGCUGAGGCGUGAUGACGAGGCACUACGGUGCUGAAGCAACAAAUGCCCUGCUUCCAGGAAAAGCCUCUAAGCAUCAGGUAACAUCAAAUCGUACCCCAAACCGACACAGGUGGUCAGGUAGAGAAUACCAAGGCGCUUGAGAGAACUCGGGUGAAGGAACUAGGCAAAAUGGUGCCGUAACUUCGGGAGAAGGCACGCUGAUAUGUAGGUGAAGUCCCUCGCGGAUGGAGCUGAAAUCAGUCGAAGAUACCAGCUGGCUGCAACUGUUUAUUAAAAACACAGCACUGUGCAAACACGAAAGUGGACGUAUACGGUGUGACGCCUGCCCGGUGCCGGAAGGUUAAUUGA